RNAcentral lists this long non-coding RNA (629 nucleotides) under Medicago truncatula (barrel medic). RNAcentral describes it as "lncRNA gene22532". The record is from RNAcentral. Lineage: Eukaryota; Viridiplantae; Streptophyta; Magnoliopsida; Fabales; Fabaceae.
CUCAUGUAUACUGAUAGUGCUACAGUAGUAUUAUAAUUAUAAGGCAUCUCAUGUUAUACUGCCAUAGCGCUUUUUGUAGAAGUUUUAUCCGCUUCUGCAGGUCAUCUAUAACAUGCUCAUCUAUAAUAUGAUGGGAGAUGCAAAAAGCUUUUAUUCAAUUAUUUAAGAACAAUUUAACCAUAAAAAAAUGUAAAAUACACGUUGGAACGAACAUACACACAGCAUACAAUUGAACAUUCAUAAUCAAUAUCUAGUUAGCACACAAGAUUUGAGGAUACCUUCUGAGAAGAAGGCUGAAGGAAUUGAGGAAAAAGCGAAGAUGAUAAUGGAGGUAGACGGUCCAAGGAAUCGUGAAACCUAGAGGCACAAAACAUAAAUACAUAUUCAUAAUUAGUAUUAAGUAUCAUAGUUGAAAAUCUUCUCAAAACUUGAAAGGACUGUCCAGGGAACAUUGAUACUGUUAAUAAUGAGGACAAAAUCAUAUGUGAAUUUCCCAGAAAAGAAACAUGCAAAACCCAACUACAAAUAUAUCAACAAAAGCCACUUGAAUCCUUAUAUUCUUUGAUGAUUUCCAAUUGAUUAUACUUCUGACUUUUCAUCAACAGCUCUGCUCUUAAGUCUGCGGGGAC